RNAcentral lists this ribosomal RNA (46 nucleotides) under Citrullus colocynthis (colocynth). RNAcentral's name for it is "partial 26S ribosomal RNA". Lineage: Eukaryota; Viridiplantae; Streptophyta; Magnoliopsida; Cucurbitales; Cucurbitaceae. The record is from RNAcentral.
ACCCCAGGUCAGGCGGGACUACCCGCUGAGUUUAAGCAUAUCAAUA